Molecule: long non-coding RNA, 2348 nt
Organism: Amphiprion ocellaris (clown anemonefish)
Lineage: Eukaryota; Metazoa; Chordata; Actinopteri; Pomacentridae
Source: Ensembl
GCAAGUAGACAAUCGAGAGCCACUUGUUGAGAAUGAUGAUGUAGAUUCAUUGGAGACAGUUCAGAUGAACGUAUCAGAGGUACAGAAUGAUGGUUGGACAUCGGAAGAUGGGACUGAGGCUUUGCGUACAUUACGGAAGAGAGACACUAACUGGAAGGCGUAUGGUUUUGACUCCUCAGUGAUGAAAAUUGCAGACCCAUGGGCAAGUAGGAAUUUGUGGUUUCAGCAGGUGACCCAUUCUGUGAGAUCUAUUAGUAGGCUAAAUUGUCCAUGUCUGGUGAAAAUUCCAUCUCCAGGCACAUGGCCUUCGAUUUUGGAGACGGUGCCGCAUCCGUUGGCGGCUCCAUGUCAAUCGAAUGCAUUAACAUGGUUGUCUUAUCAACAGGGGUCACCGGCAGCUGCCUUGAAGGCUUUGUGGGGAACUUUAUUUCAGCCAGGUUCUAUUUGUUCUUGGCUGAGGACAUUGCCAUAUGUGAAUUUGAUGGACCAACAUGAGAAUGUACUGACAGCACUCCCUGAUGCAUUAGAUGUGAAACCUGUGAGAGCUUUUGGUUGUUUCUGUUCCAAUAAGACAUAUAUGGGAUCUGGAAUGUUUAUGGGAAUAUCUCGUUGUAAUGAAUAUAGGAUGCAUUUGGGUAAGGGUAAACUUAUAAAUCCUCAUGAAUUGUUUCCUGUAACUUUCCGUUUGCCCCAUAACCAGAAUAAGACUGUGUGGGUGCUUGAUCGUCUUUUGCCUGCGAACGUUACUGUAGGAAAUUUUAAGGAUAUUUGGUGGGUUUGUGGUGACAAGGCGUAUUUGUUUUUGCCAAAUGGAUGGACAGGGUGUUGUUAUAUGGCAACAUUGAAACUCCCGUAUGAGGUUUUGGCUGUCAAGGACACUAAUGCAACUAACAAAGUUCAGUCUAAUGUUGCUCCUGCAAAUAGGAAGAGAAGAGAGUUGGCGCAGUUUCAUAAUUUGGAAUCCUACCAUUGGAGGAUAAGUUUGGGUGAAAAAUGGGGUAUAGGACUCCUUCCGUGGUAUGGCGUUACGUUUUUGGCUGAUCAUAUUGACAAUAUCACUUAUACCCUGCAGGGUUUUGCGAAUGAGACUAUAAGAGGGUUUGGUUAUUUGUCGAAUACUCAGAGGAGUCAUAGACUGACAUUGUUGAAACAUGAUAUGGCUCUGGACUAUAUUUUGGCCAGACAGGGUGGUUUAUGUGUGGCUUUGAAUUUAACUGGGGAUGCUUGUUACACGUUGGUUCCAGAUACUUCUGAUAAUAUCACUAGUGUGAUAGAUGCGUUGCAAGCCAUUAGGGAUGCGUUUGGUCCAUCGGAAGGUGCUGGAUGGUCUGCUAAUGUUUGGCUGGAGGACCAAUUGGGUCCAAUGGGAGCUGUUGUACUCCAAAUUUUGAUAGCGGUUCUUUUGUCACUGUGUGUGAUGUUCUGUUUCUGUACGUUGUUGUUGACCUUUGCGAAGGCUAUGAUAUUGAGAUGGGUUGGUGUUGUGCUGCCAGGUGACAACGUUCAGAUGCCGUUAUUGAGUGGAGCUUCCUUGAGUGAAGAUGAGGCAGAUGUCAUGGGGAGUCAGAUGGUGGAUAAAUAUCCCUUUUGACUGUCUCUUUUGGUGUGGUCCUACUUUUUCUUUUUGUAGUUCUUUAAAGGGGGAAAUGGGAACUUAUGGUUUUUGAUUUGAUUUUUUGAAUUUUUUACUUUUACCUUUUAGUAUAUUGCAAUAUAUUAUACUGUGUUUGAUGUGUUUGUUGUUGCAAGAUACUGGUUGGUGUGUUUUGUCUUCCCAGGAGACUAUCUGGGAAAUCGAGUAAAGAGCGGCUGUCGUUCAGAGAUCUCUACAGCCAAAUGGACUCAUAUGCUUGAAUAUGGACAAUGCAAUGGGGGAAGAAUCCGAAGUGAGGACAUUACAGUGAUGGCAUACUACGACUGGAACUGUUGAUGGACGACAGUUUGAUAUAUUCAUGUUUUCAUGUAUGCCUAUUGUAUGGAUUCUGUUUCCAUAUGUACUCUGUUUUUAAUAUUGGAUGCUUAUUCUUGUUUACAUUUUUAUAUUAUGAGUUAGUGAUACUAUUAAUAUGUUAGUUUUUGAGUUUUAUGCCUAUAUGACUGAUAUGAGGUGUUUAUGACAGGGGGUUCAUUACUUGGAUGUUUUCUCUUAGGAGGUGAGUACGUUGGGAUCUCAGGUGUUUUCUUUUUUUCGACUGUUUAGGGGCAGUAAUGCUAGGCAGGGUCAGGUCCAUUGAAGGGUUCGAUGGGUCGACCAGCCUGACAUUGGAUGUUUUUGAUUUUAUUUCUGGGAUUCCCAUGUGUAUUCGCUUCUACUUGUUUACAUACUUGUUUGAACCUUUUGUCUAAUU